RNAcentral lists this ribosomal RNA (249 nucleotides) under uncultured bacterium. RNAcentral's name for it is "partial 16S ribosomal RNA". It matches the Rfam family "Bacterial small subunit ribosomal RNA", at positions 109 to 353 of the family's 1533-position model. The record is from RNAcentral.
AGUAACGCGUGGGUAACCUGCCCUGUACACACGGAUAACAUACCGAAAGGUAUGCUAAUACGGGAUAAUAUAAGAAAUUCGCAUGUUUUUUCUUUAUCAAAAGCUCCGGCGGUACAGGAUGGACCCGCGUCUGAUUAGCUAGUUGGUGAGGUAAUGGCUCACCAAGGCGACGAUCAGUAGCCGACCUGAGAGGGUGAUCGGCCACAUUGGAACUGAGACACGGUCCAAACUCCUACGGGAGGCAGCAUG